Molecule: ribosomal RNA, 318 nt
Filed under: Schizomyia galiorum
Lineage: Eukaryota; Metazoa; Arthropoda; Insecta; Diptera; Cecidomyiidae
Description: partial 16S ribosomal RNA
Source: RNAcentral
GUUUGUAAUUUAAAUCUAGAAUGAAUGAUUGUAUGAAAAAUAUUCUUUUUUAAUUUUAAAAUUUAAAUUUUAUAUUUUAGUUAAAAAGCUUAAAUAAUUUAAAUAGACGAGAAGACCCUAUAGAAUUUUAUUAAUUUUAUUUUUUUUUAAAAAAAAUAAUUAAUUUAAUUGGGGAGAUUAAUAAAUUUAAUUAACUUUUUUAAAAUAAAAUCAAAAAUUAUUGUUUUUUUGAUCUUUUUAUAAUGAUUAAAAAAUUAAAUUACCUUAGGGAUAACAGCAUAAUUUUUUAAAAAAGUUCUUAUUUUUUAAAAAGUUUAU